UAAAAUGGAAUUUUACAAUUUUACACGAACAGAUCUUCUUAAUUUGUGAAAUUUCUCAAUUUAUGCCUGGACACAAUGCGAUUCUAACUUAGAUUAUUCUUAGAGGAUGAGAAUCU
Bradysia coprophila is the source of this 116-nucleotide long non-coding RNA. The record is from RefSeq and is a predicted model, not a curated record. Lineage: Eukaryota; Metazoa; Arthropoda; Insecta; Diptera; Sciaridae.